UUAACACAUGCAAGUCGAGCGCCUCGCAAGAGGAGCGGCAGACGGGUGAGUAACGCGUGGGAAUCUACCCAUCUCUACGGAACAACUCCGGGAAACUGGAGCUAAUACCGUAUACGUCCUUCGGGAGAAAGAUUUAUCGGAGAUGGAUGAGCCCGCGUUGGAUUAGCUAGUUGGUGGGGUAAUGGCCUACCAAGGCGACGAUCCAUAGCUGGUCUGAGAGGAUGAUCAGCCACAUUGGGACUGAGACACGGCCCAAACUCCUACGGGAGGCAGCAGUGGGGAAUAUUGGACAAUGGGCGAAAGCCUGAUCCAGCCAUGCCGCGUGAGUGAUGAAGGCCCUAGGGUUGUAAAGCUCUUUCAACGGUGAAGAUAAUGACGGUAACCGUAGAAGAAGCCCCGGCUAACUUCGUGCCAGCAGCCGCGGUAAUACGAAGGGGGCUAGCGUUGUUCGGAAUUACUGGGCGUAAAGCGCACGUAGGCGGAUAUUUAAGUCAGGGGUGAAAUCCCGGGGCUCAACCCCGGAACUGCCUUUGAUACUGGGUAUCUCGAGUCGAGAGAGGUGAGUGGAAUUCCGAGUGUAGAGGUGAAAUUCGUAGAUAUUCGGAGGAACACCAGUGGC
RNAcentral lists this ribosomal RNA (619 nucleotides) under Mesorhizobium sp. JMT1927. Its description in RNAcentral is "bacterial SSU rRNA". It matches the Rfam family "Bacterial small subunit ribosomal RNA", at positions 48 to 716 of the family's 1533-position model. The record is from RNAcentral. Lineage: Bacteria; Pseudomonadati; Pseudomonadota; Alphaproteobacteria; Hyphomicrobiales; Phyllobacteriaceae.